CAGUAGCCACGGUAAUACGUAGGGUGCGAGCGUUAAUCGGAAUUACUGGGUGUAAAGCGUGCGCAGGCGGUUGUGUAAGACAGGUGUGAAAUCCCCGGGCUUAACCUGGGAACUGCGCUUGUGACUGCACAGCUAGAGUAUGGCAGAGGGGGGUGGAAUUCCACGUGUAGCAGUGAAACGCGUAGAGAUGUGGAGGAACACCGAUGGCGAAGGCAGCCCCCUGGGCCAAUACUGACGCUCAUGCACGAAAGCGUGGGGAGCAAACAGGAUUAGAUACCCGCGUAGUCCCUGUCUCUUAUCC
This 301-nucleotide ribosomal RNA is filed under the name uncultured bacterium. RNAcentral's name for it is "partial 16S ribosomal RNA". It matches the Rfam family "Bacterial small subunit ribosomal RNA", at positions 509 to 809 of the family's 1533-position model. The record is from RNAcentral.